GUAGGUGAACCUGCGGAAGGAUCAUUAACACGUAUCCAACGUUAAACAACCCUGUGAACCUUGAACGUGCUCUCGUACACGCUCUAGCAGCAAUCCCUGGUAAAUCAUUGUUGACCAGCUAUUGAGUCUGGGACUUCUGCUAGAAAACCAUACGAUACGAGCGCCAGAGUAAGUGCGGCCUGGCAUCCUAGCAAUCUGUCAGUGGUUGCGCAAGGAUGGCGCAGUAAACGAUCGCUGUAGGCCCACACGGCCGGCGACCGGGCCUCUGUGCUUCGGCACCUAAUGACACCAGUUUUCUGACCCGGUGCGCUGUAACAACCGCACCACAAACUCGAACAACUGUUAACAAUGGAUAUCUUGGUUCUU
Molecule: unclassified non-coding RNA, 366 nt
Filed under: rhizosphere metagenome
Description: partial ribosomal RNA internal transcribed spacer region
Source: RNAcentral